CGUGUAGGCGGUUUUCCAAGUUGGGUGUGAAAGCCUUGGGCUUAACCCAAGAAAUGCACUCAGUACUGGAAGACUAGAGGACCGGAGAGGAUAGUGGAAUUCCCAGUGUAGUGGUGAAAUACGUAGAGAUUGGGAAGAACACCAGUGGUGAAGGCGGCUAUCUGGACGGUUUCUGACGCUAAGACGCGAAAGCGUGGGGAGCAAACA
RNAcentral lists this ribosomal RNA (207 nucleotides) under uncultured bacterium. RNAcentral's name for it is "partial 16S ribosomal RNA". It matches the Rfam family "Bacterial small subunit ribosomal RNA", at positions 568 to 774 of the family's 1533-position model. The record is from RNAcentral.